AAGGGAUGAAAAGAAAAGCGAAUAAAACCAUCACUCGCACUAGAAAAAAGAGGAACAAAUUGAUGGCUGAGAAAGAAGAGAAAUUUGAUCAGCAUGACCAAGAUUUUUUGUUUCAGAAACAGAAUAGUCUGGGAAUUCCAAACACACAAGAGCGAAAAAAAAGGAAGAAAAAGAAAAAGAAAAAGUGUAUUACAGAUACUGGAGAUACAGAAGUUAAAGCAUGGAGGAAAGAGAUGGCUAAGGAUUCCUUCUCGAUGUUAUAGCAAAGCCAGACAUGGGUCCAUUUCAGCAGGCAGCAUGGAUUGACAUUGAAAUGAAAAAUGUGAAUUAAAGCUAAAUAGAGAAAUGUAUUCAAGCCAUUUUUGUGUUGGAAUUAUGAUGUUAUUGUGUGUUAGUUUGGGAUGUUAGUGCUAAGAGAUGUCCAGCUAGAAGCAGGUAGUCAAAAAAAGCGUUAAAAAACAAAAGGUAGCGAUGUAGAAAUGUUUUCUUAUGAAGGUCAGGUUUUAUGACCCAAAGCAGGGUAGCUUUAUAAAUGGGCAGGUAGAGGGGAGUCAUUAGAACUACUUCAGCAGUGUGGAUAUGGGGUACUUGGCUUGUAAUUGCUGGUUGUAGGACUUGGAUUUCAAAGGAUGAGUUGCACUAAAAACUUCAGUACUCUUGUAGUAUUUUUAUCAAUUAAAAAUCCAAGAGACUUUGUCAUGAUCUUCAGAAAUACUAAUCCACCCAUGUAAUCCAUUGCUUAGUCAAUAGUCAGCUGUAACCUAGAUGGAAGUGGAAUAAAUUAUAGCAUACAAGCA
This is a long non-coding RNA of Pomacea canaliculata, 797 nucleotides long. RefSeq lists it as uncharacterized. Lineage: Eukaryota; Metazoa; Mollusca; Gastropoda; Architaenioglossa; Ampullariidae. The transcript is spliced from 4 exons. The record is from RefSeq and is a predicted model, not a curated record.